Molecule: transfer RNA, 59 nt
Filed under: Runcina aurata
Lineage: Eukaryota; Metazoa; Mollusca; Gastropoda; Runcinacea; Runcinidae
Description: tRNA-Lys
Source: RNAcentral
UAAUUUUUGAUGACUGAUUAAAGUGGUAGAUUUUUAAUCUAUUUAUGAGUUUUUCUCUC